Molecule: non-coding RNA, 790 nt
Organism: Pangasianodon hypophthalmus (striped catfish)
Lineage: Eukaryota; Metazoa; Chordata; Actinopteri; Siluriformes; Pangasiidae
Source: the annotation of a RefSeq genome assembly
AGAUAUUGUGUGAAUUUUGCUUCUGGGGUCAGAUGGAGGUUUUCUGGAAAAUACUUUUAGGUCUAAGAUGCAUAAAUAAGUGAAUUAGAGAGAGAAGCUUAAACUUUCACCGGUUGGUGUUUGUACUGAAUGUUAAUGAGUUUCUCACUGUAGUGGAUUUAUGGUGGAAGAGGCAGCAUCAGUGUUGGCACCAUUAAACCUGUUUGUAUCACUGUGGAGGACUUUUGGUGGAGGAACCAAACUGUCUGUGGGCCGUCUCACCCAGCCCACUGUGACAGUGCUGCCUCCCUCCAGUGUGGACCUGCAGCAGGAGAAGGUCACACUCAUGUGUGUGGCCUAUAAGGGCUUCCCCUCGGACUGGAGGCUGAGCUGGAAGGUUGAUGGGAGCAGCUUGAGCUCGGGGGAGAGCCACAGCACCGCCGUUCUGCACGCGGACGGCCUCUACAGCUGGAGCAGCACGCUGAGCAUCCACCCGGAGCAGUGGAGGAACAAGGUGGUGACCUGUGAGGCCUCCAAUGACAACCAACCUCCUGUGGUGAGCUCAGUGGACAGAGAGCAGUGCUAAGAGCUGUGAGCUCACACACACUUUACUCAGCUCACCUUCUACUGCUUCACUGUGUGUUACAUGUGGCCCACUUUCAUAAUUUCAUUUGCGUUAUUAACGGGAGCUCACACACUCCUCAGUUUAAAUCAGCUCUUCUUCUUCAUUAUCACCUAAAUAUGUGUUAAGUGUGUGUAUCACUGCAAUGUUCUGCUUUGAAUUAUUAAUAAAAGCCUUUGAAUCAGUAAA